AGAUCAACUGGCCUCGAACUCACGGAGAUCCUACUGCCUCUGCCUUCUAGUGUUGGGAUUAGAGGUAUGUGUCACCAUGCCUAGCCCAUCCUUGUACUUAUUAGGAGUUUAGCUUCUGGCUGGAUUACCCAUCUCAGAGUGAAGUAAAGAUGGCAGCUUGUUCUCUACUGUCAGACAAGGACUUUAGCAAAAUCGGCCCCCCCUAGCUCCAGUCUUCUGGAAGAUUCUUACCACACCCUAAAGAGCCCACAGGAACCCUGACAUGUUUAAAUUGCUGACAAGGUGGGUGUGGAGGAAGCAGCUAUAAUGAAGAAGAAACCUUUCUUCUACAAGAAAGAGAAACCUUAGGCUCUUGCUGAGACAACAGGGAAGGAGCCCAGAGAGCAGGAUCCCAUGGAAGAGUCACACAGGAUGUGGACACUGAUCAGACCUGACCUGGCCUGGUCUUUGACUUUGCCUGUGUCAUCACGCCUGGGGUUGGAACUGCCCCACCCCCACCCAUGAAGACUCCGUCGCCCUUUCCAGGAAAUGUACAGACAAGAGCAGGAAACUGUUGAGUCGCCUAUUUUUCUUUCCCUGCAAAAUGGUUUUAUUAUUUUCGUUGAACAAAAACAUCCUAAUGUAUUGAGGAUGGAGAAGAGAAAGACACCCAGACCUUAAAAUAGACUCAAUACGCCUGUACUUUUGGCUGGAGCAUCCUUGCCUGUAUCCUGGGAAAGGAUAUCUGAAAAACUGGAACUCCACCCAUUCUGCCCUCUAGGUUUGAGCUGUCGAAACUCCCUGGUGGCAAAAGGGCACUCUAGAUCAGGGGAAGCAGCCUUCGAAACAGCCUUGUGGCUGCUCUGGGGGGCCCUGUGGUUUCUCUUUAGCCAUCUGGGGGACCUUGAGUAAAUGACCCAACCCCUCUGAUAGUCUGUGUAACAUGGGGAAGACAAGAGAGUUCUAUCUUCCUACUCUCUUCCUUUGCUCUCUCCCUUAUCCAUAGGCUGUUUCCCACAAGUCUGAAGGCACCAGUGCUACAGAUGGAGGGAGCAGGUGAUAGCACAGUGGUGACAAGCCAUCUGCGCUGGUCCGUACAGCCCCUGUCAGCAUCCUUCUGCCUCAACUUCCCUCCUGCUGAGUUCUUCAUUUGGGGCCCACAAAGCCAUGUAUGCUCGUUAAAAAAACAACAACAAAAAAAAA
RNAcentral lists this long non-coding RNA (1182 nucleotides) under Mus musculus (house mouse). Its description in RNAcentral is "predicted gene 5535". The record is from RNAcentral. Lineage: Eukaryota; Metazoa; Chordata; Mammalia; Rodentia; Muridae.